CGUUAGACGAACGGUCUGGAAAGUCCGACGAUACAGGGUGAUAGUCCCGUAGUUGACGAUGUGUGUUCAGUGAAAUCGAGUAGGGCGGGACACGUGAUAUCCUGUCUGAAUAUGGGGGGACCAUCCUCCAAGGCUAAAUACUACUGACUGACCGAUAGUGAACCAGUACCGUGAGGGAAAGGCGAAAAGAACCCCUGUGAGGGGAG
Molecule: ribosomal RNA, 206 nt
Filed under: Vibrio parahaemolyticus
Lineage: Bacteria; Pseudomonadati; Pseudomonadota; Gammaproteobacteria; Vibrionales; Vibrionaceae
Description: partial 23S ribosomal RNA
Rfam family: Bacterial large subunit ribosomal RNA
Source: RNAcentral